AGGUUAAACAAAUAAAACACAUGAAUAGUGAAAUCAAUGAUUUUAGUUUGAAAAAAAAUAUUUAAAUCUAUUAUAUUUACACACAAACACACACACGUACUAAAGGGAAUUUGAAAAGUUUUGGGACCAAAGCUUCCUUUGGUUCCUAACAGGGUUCUCCCUCCAUCCCCGAGGUUUGUCGUUUUAUCAGAAGAACCAAUGAGCAUGAAGAUGAAAAUGUUAAAUUUUCUAGGACAAUGUCUUUGUGCAAUUGCUCUGCUCUAUUCAAUACAGAGUGGUUAAGGCACAUGCUGAUGAUGCAUUUUAUGAGCUGCAAAAUCCUGAAGAACGGAUUCGGGCUUAUGUGUUUGAUGUGGUUCGAGCUCUAGUUCCUAGAAUGAAUUUGGAUGAUCUCUUUGAACAAAAGGGUGAGGUUGCUAAAGCUGUUCUUGAGGAACUUGGAAAGGUGAUGGGAGAUUAUGGAUAUAGCAUUGAGCACAUACUGAUGGUUGACAUCAUACCC
This is a long non-coding RNA of Hibiscus syriacus, 502 nucleotides long. RefSeq lists it as uncharacterized. The record is from RefSeq and is a predicted model, not a curated record. The transcript has 3 exons. Lineage: Eukaryota; Viridiplantae; Streptophyta; Magnoliopsida; Malvales; Malvaceae.